GUGCCAGCAGCCGCGGUAAUACGUAGGUGGCAAGCGUUGUCCGGAUUUACUGGGCGUAAAGGGCUUGUAGGCGGUUUGUUAAGUCUGGUGUGAAAUCUCCCGGCUCAACCGGGAGGGGUCAUCGGAUACUGGCAGACUUGAGACGGGUAGAGGAAAGCAGAAUUCCCGGUGUAGCGGUGAAAUGCGUAGAUAUCGGGAGGAAUACCAGUGGCGAAGGCGGCUUUCUGGGCCUGUUCUGACGCUGAGGAGCGAAAGCGUGGGGAGCAAACCGGAUUAGAUACCCCCGUAGUCC
This 292-nucleotide ribosomal RNA is filed under the name uncultured bacterium. Its description in RNAcentral is "partial 16S ribosomal RNA". It matches the Rfam family "Bacterial small subunit ribosomal RNA", at positions 505 to 796 of the family's 1533-position model. The record is from RNAcentral.